ACGAACGCUGGCGGCGUGCUUAACACAUGCAAGUCGAACGGAAAGGCCCUGCUUUUGUGGGGUGCUCGAGUGGCGAACGGGGGAGUAACACGUGAGUAACCUGCCCUUGACUUUGGGAUAACUUCAGGAAACUGGGGCUAAUACCGGAUAGGAGCUCCUGCUGCAUGGUGGGGGUUGGAAAGUUUCGGCGGUUGGGGAUGGACUCGCGGCUUAUCAGCUUGUUGGUGGGGUAGUGGCUUACCAAGGCUUUGACGGGUAGCCGGCCUGAGAGGGUGACCGGCCACAUUGGGACUGCGAUACGGCCCAGACUCCUACGGGAGGCAGCAGUGGGGAAUAUUGCACAAUGGGCGGAAGCCUGAUGCAGCAACGCCGCGUGCGGGAUGACGGCCUUCGGGUUGUAAACCGCUUUCGCCUGUGACGAAGCGUGAGUGACGGUAAUGGGUAAAGAAGCACCGGCUAACUACGUG
Molecule: ribosomal RNA, 467 nt
Filed under: uncultured bacterium
Lineage: Bacteria
Description: partial 16S ribosomal RNA
Rfam family: Bacterial small subunit ribosomal RNA
Source: RNAcentral